RNAcentral lists this ribosomal RNA (253 nucleotides) under uncultured bacterium. RNAcentral's name for it is "partial 16S ribosomal RNA". It matches the Rfam family "Bacterial small subunit ribosomal RNA", at positions 524 to 776 of the family's 1533-position model. The record is from RNAcentral.
UACGGGGGGGGUAAGCGUUGUUCGGAAUUACUGGGCGUAAAGGGCUCGUAGGCGGCCAACUAAGUCAGACGUGAAAUCCCUCAGCUUAACUGGGGAACUGCGUCUGAUACUGGAUGGCUUGAAUUUGGGAGAGGGAUGCGGAAUUCCAGGUGUAGCGGUGAAAUGCGUAGAUAUCUGGAGGAACACCGGUGGCGAAGGCGGCAUCCUGGACCAAUAUUGACGCUGAGGAGCGAAAGCCAGGGGAGCAAACGGG